AAGGAUCAUUACAAGAUAGGUGUGUGCCUCUUGGUACGCCGCCUUUCCACCCUCUUGAGUACCUCACCUCUGUUGCUUUGGCGGGCCGGCCCCUUAUGGUCGGCAGGCUCUCUCGUAGGAGCUGGCUAGUGCCCGCCAGAAGGCCACAUCAUACUUUUAAACGUGGUUUGUCUGAGCUGUAGAGCAAAUACUAGCAAAACUUUCAACAACGGAUCUCUUGGUUCUG
This 226-nucleotide unclassified non-coding RNA is filed under the name uncultured fungus. Its description in RNAcentral is "partial contains 18S rRNA, ITS1, 5.8S rRNA, ITS2 and 28S rRNA". The record is from RNAcentral. Lineage: Eukaryota; Fungi.